UUGGUCACCACCACAUUGGCAUGGAAUACAGGUUAACUCACUUGGAUUGUCACCGAUUUUUUGGAAAUGGAGGGAAUAAGACCAUGGAAUGAUCCCGAUGCUGUCCGAGAAGUACCCUAAUUGGUAGAUAAGGUCAACGCGUUUUCAUAUGAGAUUCUCAAUUUAAUAUUCAGUUGGUCACCACCACAUUGGCAUGGAAUACAGGUUAACUCACGUGGAUUGUCACCGAUUUUUUGGAAAUGGAGGGAGUAAGGCCAUGGAAUGAUCCCGGUGCUGUCCGAGAAGUACCCUAAUUGGUAGAUAAGGUCAACGCGUUUUCAUAUGAGAUUCUCAAUUUAAAAAAAUUCAGUUGGUCACCACCACAUUGGCAUGGAAUACAGGUUAACUCACGUGGAUUGUCACCGAUUUUUUGGAAAUGGAGGGAGUAAGGCCAUGGAAUGAUCCCGGUGCUGUCCGAGAAGUACCCUAAUUGGUAGAUAAGGUCAACGCGUUUUCAUAUGAGAUUCUCAAUUUAAAAUUCAGUUGGUCACCACCACAUUGGCAUGGAAUACAGGUUAACUCACUUGGAUUGUCACAGAUUUUUUGGAAAUGGAGGGAAUAAGACCAUGGAAUGAUCCCGAUGCUGUCCGAGAAGUACCCUAAUUGGUAGAUAAGGUCAAGUAUCAAGUAUCAAGUAUCAAGUAUCAAGUAUCAAGUAUCAAGUAUCAAGUAUCAAGUAUCAAGUAUCAAGUAUCAAGUAUCAAGUAUCAAGUAUCAA
Photinus pyralis (common eastern firefly) is the source of this 757-nucleotide long non-coding RNA. RefSeq lists it as uncharacterized. The transcript is spliced from 5 exons. The record is from RefSeq and is a predicted model, not a curated record. NCBI's taxonomy places the organism in Eukaryota, Metazoa, Arthropoda, Insecta, Coleoptera, Lampyridae.